Molecule: non-coding RNA, 21 nt
Organism: Caenorhabditis elegans
Lineage: Eukaryota; Metazoa; Nematoda; Chromadorea; Rhabditida; Rhabditidae
Source: Ensembl
UACUUUUGUCGUGAAAAUAUG